GAUGAACGCUGGCGGCGUGCCUAAUACAUGCAAGUCGAGCGAACGGACGAGAAGCUUGCUCUUCUGACGUUAGCGGCGGACGGGUGAGUAACACGUGGAUAACCUACCUAUAAGACUUGGAUAACUUCGGGAAACCGGAGCUAAUACCGGAUAAUAUUUUGAACCGCAUGGUUCAAAAGUGAAAGACGGUCUUGCUGUCACUUAUAGAUGGAUCCGCUCUGCAUUAGCUAGUUGGUAAGGUAACGGCUUACCAAGGCAACGAUGCAUAGCCGACCUGAGAGGGUGAUCGGCAACACUGGAACGGAGACACGGUCCAGACUCCUACGGGAGGCAGCAGUAGGGAAUCUUCCGCAAUGGGCGGAAGCCUGACGGAGCAACGCCGCGUGGGUGAUGAAGAUCUUCGGAUCGUAAAACUCUGUUAUUAGGGAAGAACAUAUGUGUAAGUAACUGUGCACAUCUUGACGGUACCUAAUCAGAAAGCCACGGCUAACUACGUG
Molecule: ribosomal RNA, 497 nt
Filed under: uncultured bacterium
Lineage: Bacteria
Description: partial 16S ribosomal RNA
Rfam family: Bacterial small subunit ribosomal RNA
Source: RNAcentral